Molecule: long non-coding RNA, 1401 nt
Organism: Onychomys torridus (southern grasshopper mouse)
Lineage: Eukaryota; Metazoa; Chordata; Mammalia; Rodentia; Cricetidae
Exons: 3
Source: RefSeq, a predicted model, not a curated record
GGCUGCAUUAGUAAGGGCGAGGGACUGGGAGUAGAGGGAGCAGUCAGUGAAAGCGAUUUUAUUUCGCAGUUAGCAUGAGCUCAUCCCCAGCUGAGGUCUGAAGUGGCAGCAGAAAGCUAGCUGAUCGCCCUGUUCCUGCCACUGGCCGGACUGCAAACGCAUUUAGGAGGUGCACAAAAAUUGCCAGGAGGAAACCAACUCUGCGGGGAUCACGUCAGCAGGCGGGGUCUCCCUAGUGGGGCGGGUACCCCAUGCCUCUGAUGGAGACCGGCUACAGGUCGGAAAUUCAACCCCAAAGAAAUGGGCAAUUAGCAUCCACAUGCGAGUAAACCCCAGCCCUCAGUUGAAGAAGGGGCUUCUUGAGGUCUUCGCGAAUAUUUCCACCGAGUCGAGGUUUCCUAGGUGGCUUGGGCAUGGGAAGCAGGGGAGUUGAGAAAUGCCAUUUUUCAAAGCAUCUUCUCAUUUUUCAUAUUCCGUGUGCCUAACCUGCUCCCCUAGGAGCCCAGGCACUUUUACAAGCCUGUUUCCGACCAUAUUUCACUCUAAUGCAAACCCAUUUAAAUCAUCGCCUUGUUUUUCCGAAGAUUGCUUCUUGUAAAUGGGACCAUAAAUCCGGGGAGUCAGGUCAGAUGGAGUGGAGCAUGGACAGGGGAAGACAUGAAAGAGGAGUAAACUAAGCAAGGAAGAUACCUCCUUGGGUGGGGUGGGAGGGAUUCGGCAGGAUCUCCAGGGAAGAAAUGCCGGAGUGCUGGCCUGACCCCUGCAACCCACGAAGUCCAAACCAGCCUUUAAGGUUAGAGCGCAGGGAGCCAUAGAAUGCUCCUCCCCAAAGGGAGCGCCCCCCUACCUGGAAAAGCCUCAAGAUGUUGGCUACCAUGAUGGAGACGGAGCUCCCCGAAGCCCCAAUCACUCCAACUACUUUCUCUGGCUUGACGAAAACCGGGGGCUCGCCGUUGGUGCAGCGCACGUCGGAGGUGUCCUUUUGGAUGAGCGCCUGGACGAAAGUGAGCGACUGUUCGAGCGCAUAAGUGUCCCUGGAACAAGUGUCCAGGAUCCGCGCGCCUAACGUUACGUUGGGCAGCAGGGCACUCCGCUGGGACCCUUGGCGUGCACUGGGAACAGCCCCCCAAGGGUGACGUCCCCCUCGAUCCGGAUCGAGUGCGGGGCGUACAUCUCCUGGCCGCGCGCCGCCGCCGCCAGCACGCACAGGAGCACCUCCAGCACGCAGCAGGGGAACUUCAUCAAAGUCAGGACGCGGAGCAGCUUCCCCAGCUGGACCAUGCCGCUACUCCGGAUGCUGCUGCGGUGGCGGCGGCGGCGCUGGAGGGAAUGCUGGUGGGCUCUCCUAAGUCCGGGCUUCUCGAGGUGGUCCUGGAUUCUAUAAGAAAGAAGGUUGAGCAA